GUGGGGAAUAUUGGGCAAUGGGGGAAACCCUGACCCAGCGACGCCGCGUGAGGGAAGAAGGCCUUAGGGUCGUAAACCUCUGUUGUGUGGGAAGAAGAGCGUGACGGUACCACACGAGGAAGUCCCGGCUAACUACGUGCCAGCAGCCGCGGUAAUACGUAGGGGACGAGCGUUGUCCGGAUUUACUGGGCGUAAAGGGCGCGUAGGCGGUCAUUUAAGUCAGCUGUGAAAUGGUCCGGCUCAACCGGAUCAUGCGGUUGAAACUGGAUGACUGGAGUGCUGGAGAGGCAAGUGGAAUUCCCAGUGUAGCGGUGAAAUGCGUAGAUAUUGGGAAGAACACCGGUGGCGAAGGCGACUUGCUGGCCAGCAACUGACGCUGAGGCGCGAAAGCCAGGGGAGCAAACGGGAUUAGAAACCCUAGUAGUCC
This 427-nucleotide ribosomal RNA is filed under the name uncultured bacterium. RNAcentral describes it as "partial 16S ribosomal RNA". It matches the Rfam family "Bacterial small subunit ribosomal RNA", at positions 354 to 796 of the family's 1533-position model. The record is from RNAcentral.